Molecule: ribosomal RNA, 482 nt
Filed under: Didymella glomerata
Lineage: Eukaryota; Fungi; Ascomycota; Dothideomycetes; Pleosporales; Didymellaceae
Description: eukaryotic LSU rRNA
Rfam family: 5.8S ribosomal RNA (bases 121-274)
Source: RNAcentral
CUGCUAUCUCUUACCCAUGUCUUUUGAGUACCUUCGUUUCCUCGGCGGGUCCGCCCGCCGAUUGGACAAUUUAAACCAUUUGCAGUUGCAAUCAGCGUCUGAAAAAAACUUAAUAGUUACAACUUUCAACAACGGAUCUCUUGGUUCUGGCAUCGAUGAAGAACGCAGCGAAAUGCGAUAAGUAGUGUGAAUUGCAGAAUUCAGUGAAUCAUCGAAUCUUUGAACGCACAUUGCGCCCCUUGGUAUUCCAUGGGGCAUGCCUGUUCGAGCGUCAUUUGUACCUUCAAGCUUUGCUUGGUGUUGGGUGUUUGUCUCGCCUCCGCGCGUAGACUCGCCUCAAAACAAUUGGCAGCCGGCGUAUUGUUUUCGGAGCGCAGUACAUCUCGCGCUUUGCACUCAUAACGACGACGUCCAAAAGUACAUUUUUACACUCUUGACCUCGGAUCAGGAUAGGGAUACCCGCUGAACUUAAGCAUAUCACA